UAGCGUAUAUUAAAGUUGUUGCGGUUAAAAAGCUCGUAGUUGGAUUUCUGUGGUAGGCUUCCGGUCCACACUAUGUGUGAGUAUCUGGUUCGGCUACUGCAUCCUCCUGAGGAACGUGGUGCGCUUCGCUGCGUGGCACGGUAUUCAGGACUUUUACUUUGAGGAAAUUAGAGUGUUCACGGCAGGCGUUUGCCUUGAAUAUGUUAGCAUGGAAUAAUAAUAUAGGACCCCGGUUCUAUUUUGUUGGUUUCUAGAGCCGAGGUAAUGAUUAAUAGGGAUAAUUGGGGGCACUCGUAUUAUCACGUC
This 306-nucleotide ribosomal RNA is filed under the name Amoebophrya sp. RNAcentral's name for it is "SSU rRNA". It matches the Rfam family "Eukaryotic small subunit ribosomal RNA", at positions 595 to 906 of the family's 1831-position model. The record is from RNAcentral. Lineage: Eukaryota; Dinophyceae; Syndiniales; Amoebophryaceae.